GAUGAACGCUGGCGGCGCGCCUAACACAUGCAAGUCGAACGAUUAAAGCACCUUCGGGUGUGUAUAAAGUGGCGAACGGCUGAGUAACACGUGGGCAACCUGCCCCUCUCAUUGGGAUAGCCACGGGAAACCGUGGAUAAUACCGAAUACUUCGGGACUUCCGCAUGGAAGACUCGAGAAAGCUCCGGCGGAGAGGGAUGGGCCCGCGGCCUGUUAGCUUGUUGGUGGGGUAAUGGCCUACCAAGGCAAUGAUGGGUAGCUGGGUUGAGAGACCGACCAGCCAGAUUGGGACUGAGACACGGCCCAGACUCCUACGGGAGGCAGCAGUGGGGAAUCUUGCACAAUGGGCGAAAGCCUGAUGCAGCGACGCCGCGUGCGGGAUGAAGGCCUUCGGGUUGUAAACCGCUUUCGGCAGGGACGAGGCGAAAGUGACGGUACCUGCAGAAGAAGCCCCGGCUAACUACGUG
This 467-nucleotide ribosomal RNA is filed under the name uncultured bacterium. RNAcentral's name for it is "partial 16S ribosomal RNA". It matches the Rfam family "Bacterial small subunit ribosomal RNA", at positions 28 to 507 of the family's 1533-position model. The record is from RNAcentral.